UUCCUCUUUGUUUCCUCUGCCACUGUCUUCUUUUGUUUCGCUUCAUCUCACCGGCUCAAGAGGAAGAGGCCAAAGGGGGAGAACCCUGCGAGGGAUUGGUGGGAGAGAGAGGGAAUAUGGGAGGGUGCUUUCCCUGCACCGGAGAGCCGAAGACGGACGACAAGGAUCCGCCCGACCUUCCGACAGCAGAUAAAUCAAAAUCCAAUCUCUCAUUCGAUGUUAAGAAAGAAACCUUAAUGAAUGAUAAGAAAGAGCUGUCAAGUAGUGGAUCAGGAUGCAUUGCUGCGCAGACAUUUACAUUUCGGGAACUGGCUGCAGCAACAAAGAAUUUUAGAGCCGAUUGCCUUCUGGGAGAAGGGGGAUUUGGUCGAGUUUACAAGGGAAGAUUAGAAAGUAGCAACCAGAUUGUGGCUAUAAAGCAGCUUGAUCGGAAUGGCUUGCAAGGAAACAGGGAAUUUCUUGUUGAGGUUCUUAUGUUGAGCCUACUUCACCAUCCUAACCUUGUCAGCCUGAUCGGCUAUUGUGCAGAUGGAGAUCAAAGGCUUUUGGUUUAUGAAUAUAUGCCAUUAGGAUCACUGGAAGACCAUCUUCACGACCUUUCCCCAGAUAAGAAGCGGCUUGACUGGAAUACACGAAUGAAAAUAGCAGCUGGUGCAGCGAAAGGAUUAGAGUAUCUACAUGAUAAAGCCAGUCCUCCUGUUAUAUACCGUGAUUUAAAAUGCUCUAACAUUUUGCUUGAUGAGGGUUAUCAUCCCAAGUUGUCUGAUUUUGGCUUGGCUAAGCUUGGUCCUGUAGGUGAUAACACACAUGUAUCCACUAGGGUGAUGGGUACAUAUGGAUAUUGUGCACCUGAAUAUGCAAUGACAGGACAGUUGACACUAAAAUCAGAUAUUUAUAGCUUUGGAGUUGUUCUUUUAGAGCUUAUCACUGGAAGAAGGGCGAUUGACAAUUCUAGAGCUGCAGGAGAGCACAAUCUUGUUGCAUGGGCACGACCAUUGUUCAAAGACAGAAGAAAAUUCUCACAGGUGGCUGAUCCAGUGCUUCAGGGUCAGUAUCCUCCAAGGGGUUUAUAUCAGGCGCUUGCAGUUGCUGCAAUGUGUGUGCAGGAGCAACCAGCUAUGCGGCCCCUAAUAGCCGACGUCGUUACAGCUCUUACAUACCUUGCUUCACAAACUUACAACCCCGACAACCAACUGAGUCAGAGCACCUCUCGCUUGGCCACACCGGGAACACCCCCUCGAACAAGAAGGGACAUCGAGAGGAAGUCAGGAUAUUGAGAACAGCCAGCGGAAGAACCUAAUGAGUAUAAAUGAGUCCAUGUGACACUCUUCCAGGAGCUAAUGGCAUGAAUCAGCUCAGCUGGCACAUUAUGAACAGCAAUGUCAUAUGACUGCCAGCAGGCAAGUGGUGGCUUCCUCAGCGGUAAUCGGUGUACUAUCAGGCAUAAAUGGCAUGAAGGCCACUAGUUGUUGCCUCAGCAUUCUCAGGUGAUCUGUACACCAGAAAGGCUGUUCACCUACUCCCAGAAGUUGAUAGAUAUGGAAGGGCGAAGUUGAUGAAGAAACCAAAUGCCGAGAAACGGAUGAAAUGAGUCCAUAAACUUGCAUCGAGGAAGAUGGAAUUCCUGAUGGGUUUGGAUGUGAAGAGUCAAUUGGUUCUCGCAGACAUCUCCCUGAUGGUUGCUGCUGCAACAAUGGCGAUUUGGUGGACAUCAUUAGGAGGCAUUCGAUCAUCAUUUUGUUGCUGCUGGCAGCUGCUGCAAAAUGCAUGGCUUCCCCAAGUCUCUUGAGAACAACUGAACCAGUUCAAGCUCAGAAGCUAUCCGCACUGCUCUGCCAUUUACGGCCAGCUUAUUGUGCUUAAGCUGAGAUGUGUCUCAGACAAGCAUUCAAGUUGUGCCGCUGCUUGGUUGACCUUCCAUCAAUCUGCACCAGUGUCUGCUUCACGGCCUUCUUUCUCACAAAGGUGAGAAGAUUGCCUGUUCUACACAGUCGAACUACAUCUGUAGUAAGUUCUUUGGCUUGCCCACCUGCAAAAGAGAUACCAUCAACAGA
This is an RNA transcript of Musa acuminata AAA Group (dessert banana), 2054 nucleotides long. It is a transcript of the gene named probable serine/threonine-protein kinase PBL7, with no coding region annotated. The transcript is spliced from 7 exons. The record is from RefSeq and is a predicted model, not a curated record. Lineage: Eukaryota; Viridiplantae; Streptophyta; Magnoliopsida; Zingiberales; Musaceae.